RNAcentral lists this transfer RNA (35 nucleotides) under Phrynosoma hernandesi. RNAcentral's name for it is "partial tRNA-Ser". Lineage: Eukaryota; Metazoa; Chordata; Lepidosauria; Squamata; Phrynosomatidae. The record is from RNAcentral.
CAAGGGGUGUUUUGAACACCAAGAACUGCUAAUUC